ACUCAAAUGAAUUGACGGGGACUUGCACAAGCGGUGGAUUAUGCGGUUCAAUUCGAUGACAAACGAAAAACCUUACCAAGGCUAGAAAUUUAGAUGAAUGUUGCAGAAACGUAACAGUCCGCAAGGACAUCUAAACAGGUGAUGCAUGGCCGUCGUCAGUUCGUGAUUUGAAUUGUUCCCUUAAGUGGGGUAACGAACGCAACCCUCUUUGGCUGUUACACGUAUCAGCCGAGACUACUCAGCACUAAGCGCACUUCGUGAGAGCGAAGCGAAUUUAGUGCUGAGAGGAAGCGAGGAUGACGCCAGGUCAGCAUGUCCCUCUGACGCCUUGGGCCACACGCAUAAUACAAUGGUCACUACAACGGGUCGCGACGAGGUAACUCUGAGCUAAUCCUAUAAAGGUGGCCCCAGUUCGGAUUGAGGGCUGCAACUCGACCUCAUGAAGUUGGAAUCGCUAGUAAUCGCGGGUCAGCUAUACCGCGGUGAAUACGUUCUCAAGUCUUGCACACACCGCCCGU
This 518-nucleotide ribosomal RNA is filed under the name uncultured bacterium. RNAcentral describes it as "partial 16S ribosomal RNA". It matches the Rfam family "Bacterial small subunit ribosomal RNA", at positions 899 to 1397 of the family's 1533-position model. The record is from RNAcentral.